GACGAACGCUGGCGGCGUGCUUAACACAUGCAAGUCGAACGGUGAAGCGCUUGCCUUUUUGGUGGGUGUGGAUGAGUGGCGAACGGGUGAGUAACACGUGAGUAACCUGCCCUCUUCUUCUGGAUAACCUCAUGAAAGUGGGGCUAAUACGGGGUAUUCCGGGUCUGUCGCAUGGCGGGUUUGGGAAAGAUUGCGCCUUUGGGUGUUUUCGGUGGGGGAUGGGCUCGCGGCCUAUCAGCUUGUUGGUGGGGUGAUGGCCUACCAAGGCGGUGACGGGUAGCCGGCCUGAGAGGGUGGACGGCCACACUGGGACUGGGACACGGCCCAGACUCCUGCGGGAGGCAGCAGUGGGGAAUAUUGCACAAUGGGCGCAAGCCUGAUGCAGCGACGCCGCGUGAGGGAUGGAGGCCUUCGGGUUGUGAACCUCUUUCGCCAGUGAAGCAGGCCUGCUCCUGUGUGGGUGGGUUGACGGUAGCUGGAUAAGAAGCGCCGGCUAACUACGUG
RNAcentral lists this ribosomal RNA (504 nucleotides) under uncultured bacterium. RNAcentral describes it as "partial 16S ribosomal RNA". It matches the Rfam family "Bacterial small subunit ribosomal RNA", at positions 28 to 507 of the family's 1533-position model. The record is from RNAcentral.